This 357-nucleotide transfer RNA is filed under the name uncultured Microcystis sp. RNAcentral's name for it is "partial 16S-23S ribosomal RNA intergenic spacer". The stretch from base 133 to 206 matches the Rfam family "tRNA". Lineage: Bacteria; Bacillati; Cyanobacteriota; Cyanophyceae; Chroococcales; Microcystaceae. The record is from RNAcentral.
AAGGGAGACCUAAUUCGGGUAGAAGACGAAAAAAUAGUAGUCGAAACCAAGAAUCAAUCCCAAAAGGUCGGAACGAGGUAUGUGGCUUUCAAACUAGGUUCUGGGUUCACAAAAGACCUGAAUCAGGAACAAGGGCUAUUAGCUCAGGUGGCUAGAGCGCACCCCUGAUAAGGGUGAGGUCCCUGGUUCGAGUCCAGGAUGGCCCACCUGCACAGGUGGCAAAAACAAGAGAAACGAGGAAUCAGCACCUUAUCUUACUUACAUAGUAAGAGAGAAUGCUGGCUCUGAGUAAAGAGUCCAGAGGAACCUUGAAAACUGCAUAGAGCUAGGUGAAAAAGCCAAAAAAGAAGACCGCAA